UACAGAGGUCCCAAGCGUUGUUCGGAUUCACUGGGCGUAAAGGGUGCGUAGGUGGUGAGGUAAGUCGGAUGUGAAAUCUCCGGGCUCAACCCGGAAAUGGCAUUGGAAACUACCUUGCUGGAGGAUUUGAGGGGGGAUUGGAAUACUUGGUGUAGCAGUGAAAUGCGUAGAUAUCAAGUGGAACACCAGUGGCGAAGGCGAGUCCCUGGAAAACUCCUGACACUGAGGCACGAAAGCUAGGGGAGCAAACAGG
RNAcentral lists this ribosomal RNA (253 nucleotides) under uncultured bacterium. RNAcentral describes it as "partial 16S ribosomal RNA". It matches the Rfam family "Bacterial small subunit ribosomal RNA", at positions 524 to 776 of the family's 1533-position model. The record is from RNAcentral.